CACAAUAACACAUCUUAUUUGUUUUCCCUCUAAUUCUAAUUAAAAUUAAAAUAUUACUGAAGAUUUUUUUUUGUAAUUUAAUAGAUUUUUCUAUGCCAAAUUUUUUCGUUACCUGAAGAGCAUAGUAGGCAGCAAAAAUAUUUGGUGAGAGGGCGAAAAAAGUAUGUAUAUAAUAAUAAUGUCUAGAGACGAUCGCAGCCAAUUAGGAAAGGAGCCAAAAGAACUGCGAAUCUUCUACUACACUAAAUAUUUUAGUAUAUUAGAAGAUUCGUGGCUCGAAGCGGAGUUACAUCCUAUUGCCAUUCGUCUACUUGUAACAAGAUUUUUCAUCAAGAAACCUGAAUUAUAUAAAACAAACUGGAUGCUCCAUUUGGCGGGUCAGAUACGCUACGCGACACAGGGACCCAGUGACCUGAUAACUAUUUAAAUAUAAUUGUGUAGUAUUCGACGUUUGGGCAUUUAUUGUUGUUAUUAUUAUUCAGCAGAUAUGAUUGAACUGUAUUUUCAAUACCAGGAUCAUUUUGCCAGUCAGGGAGGUAAACUGCGGCAUAUCCUGCCGGUUGAC
RNAcentral lists this long non-coding RNA (565 nucleotides) under Androctonus crassicauda. The record is from RNAcentral. Lineage: Eukaryota; Metazoa; Arthropoda; Arachnida; Scorpiones; Buthidae.